RNAcentral lists this ribosomal RNA (301 nucleotides) under uncultured bacterium. RNAcentral's name for it is "partial 16S ribosomal RNA". It matches the Rfam family "Bacterial small subunit ribosomal RNA", at positions 509 to 807 of the family's 1533-position model. The record is from RNAcentral.
CAGCCGCCGCGGUAAUACGAAGGGUGCAAGCGUUACUCGGAAUUACUGGGUGUAAAGCGUGCGUAGGUGGUGGCUUAAGUCCGUUGUGAAAGCCCUGGGCUCAACCUGGGAAUUGCAGUGGAUACUGGGUCACUAGAGUGUGGUAGAGGAUAGUGGAAUUUCCGGUGUAGCAGUGAAAAGCGUAGAGAUCGGGAGGAACAUCAGUGGCGAAGGCGGCCAUCUGGGACAACACUGACGCUGAGGCACGAAAGCGUGGGGAGCAAACAGGAUUAGAUACCCCCGUAGUCCCUGUCUCUUAUAC